GAUGAAGAACGCAGCGAAAUGCGAUAAGUAAUGUGAAUUGCAGAAUUCAGUGAAUCAUCGAAUCUUUGAACGCACAUUGCGCCCGCCAGAAUUCUGGCGGGCAUGCCUGUUCGGGCGUCAUUUCAACCCUCGAGCUCCCCUUGGGGAGCCCGGCGUUGGGGACCGGCAGUAACACCGCCGGCCCCGAAAUGGAGUGGCGGCCCCGCCCGCGGCGACCUCUGCGUAGUAAAUCCACUCGCACCGGGACCCGGGCGCGGCCACGCCGUAAAACACCCAACUUCCGAAUGUUGACCUCGAAUCAGGUAGGAAUACCCGCUGAACUUAAGCAUAUCAAUAAGCGGAGGA
Molecule: unclassified non-coding RNA, 345 nt
Filed under: soil metagenome
Description: partial contains 5.8S ribosomal RNA, internal transcribed spacer 2, and large subunit ribosomal RNA
Rfam family: 5.8S ribosomal RNA (bases 1-120)
Source: RNAcentral